Olea europaea var. sylvestris is the source of this 2484-nucleotide RNA transcript. RefSeq lists it as uncharacterized. NCBI's taxonomy places the organism in Eukaryota, Viridiplantae, Streptophyta, Magnoliopsida, Lamiales, Oleaceae. The transcript has 10 exons. The record is from RefSeq and is a predicted model, not a curated record.
UAUCUUCAUUGACUUUCAUCGAACCUUUUGGGAGAUCAGAUUCAGAGAGAGAAAACGGAAAUUGUGGAGUUUAGAGAGAGAAAGUAGGAAAUGUGGAGAGAGUCUGUUAGGGUUUCUGGAAAUGGACUACCCUGAAUCUACCAUACCCUCCGCAGGGGACGCUACUGAAACUGUUCCCGUCCAAGCUGCUCAACACCAUGGCUUGCAUGUACGUAGUCUCCAGUUUGAAGAUGCUCAGCAGAAAGUAGUAACAAAUAGGCAUGUACAAAACACUUCAGGUAUUGAAAAUAGUUCUAGGCCACUUGCCUCUUCUGCAGAUAGAGGGGGCCCCAAAUCACUAUCCUUGGAGACACCAUCAACUCCCAUUCGUCGGGUUGGUAUGACCCAGCAUACGGAUUAUCCUGGAAAUAGUGGGAAUUAUAGCAUAAAUUUUCCAAAGCCCGUAGGUAUUGGCUUGCACCUAAAUAGCAUUGUCAGCACUACGCAAGCAGGAACUGGAGAAACUGUAAUUGUGAAAUCAUCUGAAAAGGGUAUUUUAAGUAUACGGAAUGAGCAACAAGUGACUACUCUGAGCUCUCAUCUAUCUGAAAACUCAAAGAACUCUUCAUAUUUGUCUGUGUUGGAGAGUGUUCUCGGAAGUCCUGAUGAAAGUAGGCGUGAAAAUGAUCAUGCCUUGGUGGCAGCUAAUUCUGCUAUUUCUGUGUCCACUUAUGACGCAAAACCUUUGGACAACCCUAUGGUCUGUAAUCCAAUUGAGGAUCAAUCAACUCCAGUUAACAAGAGGAAGUCUAACGCUGGAAAUGCUGAUGAUGCAGAGGAGUUUAACAAGUCAAGCCCCAAAAGGAAGAGGAAGAAAACACCCGAGUCCAAUGAUGAUUACAGUAGCAAACUUUGCAACUGCAAGAAGUCUAAAUGCUUGAAGCUUUACUGUGAUUGCUUUGCUGCUGGAAUAUAUUGUGAGGAACCUUGUUCUUGCCAAGGGUGCUAUAACAGGCCUGAAUAUGAGGAUACGGUUCUAGAGACACGCCAACAAAUUGAAUCUCGCAAUCCUCUGGCAUUUGCUCCAAAGACAGUACAGAACUUCAUUUAUCCAUCUUCAAGCAUUUGUGGGGAAGAUGAGACUCAGUUAUCAAAGCCCUCCAUAAGGCACAAAAGAGGGUGCAAUUGCAAGAAGUCGAUGUGCCUCAAAAAGUACUGUGAGUGCUAUCAGGCAAAAGUUGGUUGUUCUGAUGGAUGUCGAUGCGAAGGAUGUAAAAAUGACUAUGGCCAAAAGGGAGAAUAUGGCAUGGAUAACGUUGUGGGCAUGCAAGGUACUGAUGAAACAACAGAUGGCUCCUCUGUUGAAAAACUUGAAAUGGUGGGGUCUGGAAAUGCUUUGUAUCAUACUGAGCUAAGCAAUCCUCAUAAUUUGACUCCUCUGACACCAUCAUUCCAAUACUCAAACCAGGGAAAAGGUGCAUCAAAAGCUUGGUUCUCUUCUGGAAAAUACUUCCAUUCACCAGAAUCUGGUCCCACCUUUGGGGCACCAUGCAUCACGUUCCCAAGGUCUCCUGGGAAUGUGUAUAAUUCUGAUAUGAUCUCAGAAUCUUCUAAAGAAAUUCUGGAUCUAGAUUCUUUUGAUCAUGAACUAGAUUACCACAAAGCAGAAGCGGUCAAUGACUUCUCAUUUGGGCACCAUGGACCUGGCAAUAAGGAGCUUCUUGCUGGUCCGCUAAAUGCAGGAGAAUCGGAAAACAAUUGGAAAGUUCAACCAUUUUCUGGAAGUGGACAUUUUUCUCCAGCAAGCUCCCUUCGUUGGCGUGGUUCACCGAUCACCCCUAUGGCUCAGUUUAGUGGGACUAAACUUCCUCAAGCUGCUGACUAUUAUGAUGGUUUACACAACAUUCUGGAAGAUGACACACCAGAGAUUCUGAAGGACACUCCUAACCCACUCAAUGCUGUGAAAGUAAGAUCUCCAAAUAAGAGGCAAGUUUCUCCCCCUCAUGAACAUUCGCUUGAGCUGGGUUCAAGGUCAUCAGAAGGCCUGAGAAUUUCUCGCAAGUUCAUACUGCAAGCCGUUCCCUCAUUCCCACCUCUUACGCCUUGUGUUGAAUCUAAAAACGCUGGACAAAAAAAGACAUAAUCCGCAGAAUUGUAGCAACAGCAGGAUAUGAGAUGAAGCAUAUGAGGACCUGCUCUAUACCCUCAAAUGGUUUUUCAUCCAUAUCAAUGAAAGCAACCUUUAGGUCACUAUAAUCUGCCAGUUGCAACGCUUUUCGAGGCUCCAAAUACAAAAAUGAAAGAAAGCCUCCAGUAGAAUGGAAGAUUUCCAAAUGUACAGCAUCCUGUCCAACCCCCUUCAUGUUCAUACUUUCUAGAUGUUAAACAGAUGCUGCAUACUGCUAUACUCUAUUGGUUAGGAAAAAAACAAGUCGGCCUUUUUGAUUUUCCAUGAUGAAUGCCAUGUUCUGAGGGAAAGAGACUCGUAUUUUUUAGGCAUUUAAU